GUCCGAGCUCAUCCACCUCUGAGCCUCCCGAUAGUUCAUUUAAAGUCCCCUGCCCUCAGCGUGGUGGUUUCCACCAAAAUGAAUCUUUUCAAUUUGGACCGUUUUCGCUUUGAGAAAAGGAGUAAGAUUGAGGAAGCUCCCGAAGCAACCCCCCAGCCCUCCUAGCCCGGCCCUUCUUCACCAGUUUUUCUUAGUGCUGAAGAGGAGAAUGCUGAAGGGGAAGUUAGCAGGGCAAACACCCCUGAUUCAGAUAUAACUGAAAAAAACAGAAGAUUCUAAUGUUCCAGACACUCCAGAUAAUGAAAGGAAAGCAAGUAUAUUGUAUUGCAAGAAUCAAAGAGGAAUACAGUAUAUUGAUUUGUCUUCUGAUAGUGAAGAUGUUGUUUCCCCAAAUUGCUCCAGUACCAUUCAAGAGAAAAAAUUCAACAAAGACACAGUGUACGCUGCCUGAUAGAUCCAUUGUAUGUGCAUAUGUAAGAGAUGUAAGAGAUUUUUUAAGGAAAAGAUAAUUAAUUUGAAAUAUUUUGGUGUAUUCCUGCCUCCCCCCUUUUUUUGACCUUUCUCCACUAUAUCUUUGCUAUUUUCCCCAAACUUACAGAUACUGAGUGGUAUAGUAUAUGUUUUUGUUUUCUGGAUCAUUUCUGGGAAAUGAUCCUUUCAGUAAAAGAUUUAGCAAGACCUAACUUGAUACUUUUAAUUCUCUAUGGAUAGGGAAAUUAUUUUAAUGAGUACUAAUGCUUUAUGAAUUUUUCUUUUGUUUUGUGGUGCUGGGGGUGGAACUCAGGUCCUUGCUCACUGUACCACUGAAGUACAUUUCCAGCCUUAUGGUUUGUUCUUCAAUCUAUGGAUUGAACUUUAACAUAUUUAUUAUGUGCAUUCUAUGAGCUAGGUACUAUUUUGUGGUUAAGAAUACAGUAAUGAACAAACCAGCCCCAAACCCCUUCCCUCUUGAAGUUUAUAUUAUACUCAGAAAGAUAAAUAAAACAUAGUAUGUCAAAAAAUAAAUAUGAAUAACAAAAGGGAAAAAAAUAAAUACUACAAUAUAAUAUCUUGUAGUCAUAUGGUUAAUCACCUCAAUCAAUGUUUUAUUUCAAAAUGAAACCUAGACUCCUU
Molecule: long non-coding RNA, 1113 nt
Filed under: Marmota monax (woodchuck)
Lineage: Eukaryota; Metazoa; Chordata; Mammalia; Rodentia; Sciuridae
Source: RNAcentral